AGAAUCAACGCUGGCGGCGUGCCUAACACAUGCAAGUCGAACGAGAAAGUGGAGCAAUCCAUGAGUAAAGUGGCGCACGGGUGAGUAACACGUGACUAACCUACCCUUGAGUGGGGGAUAACCUAGGGAAACCUGGGCUAAUACCGCAUAAUACCUUCGGGUCAAAGGAGCAAUUCGCUUAAGGAGGGGGUCGCGGCCGAUUAGUUAGUUGGCGGGGUAAUGGCCCACCAAGACGAUGAUCGGUAUCCGGCCUGAGAGGGCGCACGGACACACUGGAACUGAAACACGGUCCAGACUCCUACGGGAGGCAGCAGUGGGGAAUUUUGCGCAAUGGGGGAAACCCUGACGCAGCAACGCCGCGUGGAGGAUGAAGUCCCUUGGGACGUAAACUCCUUUCGAUCGGGACGAUAAUGACGGUACCGGAAGAAGAAGCCCCGGCUAACUUCGCGCCAGCAGCCGC
RNAcentral lists this ribosomal RNA (460 nucleotides) under uncultured bacterium. Its description in RNAcentral is "SSU rRNA". It matches the Rfam family "Bacterial small subunit ribosomal RNA", at positions 26 to 518 of the family's 1533-position model. The record is from RNAcentral.